AACGGAAACAUGUCUAGCUUGCUAGAUGAUGUCGAGUGGCGGACGGGUGAGUAAUGCUUGGGAACUUGCCUUUGCGAGGGGGAUAACAGUUGGAAACGACUGCUAAUACCGCAUAAUGUCUUCGGACCAAACGGGGCUUCGGCUCCGGCGCAAAGAGAGGCCCAAGUGAGAUUAGCUAGUUGGUGAGGUAAAAGCUCACCAAGGCAACGAUCUCUAGCUGUUCUGAGAGGAAGAUCAGCCACACUGGGACUGAGACACGGCCCAGACUCCUACGGGAGGCAGCAGUGGGGAAUAUUGCACAAUGGGGGAAACCCUGAUGCAGCCAUGCCGCGUGUGUGAAGAAGGCCUUCGGGUUGUAAAGCACUUUCAGUUGUGAGGAAAAGUUAGUAGUUAAUACCUGCUAGCCGUGACGUUAACAACAGAAGAAGCACCGGCUAACUCCGUGCCAGCAGCCGCGGUAAUACGGAGGGUGCGAGCGUUAAUCGGAAUUACUGGGCGUAAAGCGCACGCAGGCGGUUUGUUAAGCUAGAUGUGAAAGCCCCGGGCUCAACCUGGGACGGUCAUUUAGAACUGGCAGACUAGAGUCUUGGAGAGGGGAGUGGAAUUCCAGGUGUAGCGGUGAAAUGCGUAGAUAUCUGGAGGAACAUCAGUGGCGAAGGCGACUCCCUGGCCAAAGACUGACGCUCAUGUGCGAAAGUGUGGGUAGCGAACAGGAUUAGA
Molecule: ribosomal RNA, 720 nt
Filed under: gamma proteobacterium PM72
Lineage: Bacteria; Pseudomonadati; Pseudomonadota; Gammaproteobacteria
Description: bacterial SSU rRNA
Rfam family: Bacterial small subunit ribosomal RNA
Source: RNAcentral